ACCAAAAUAUCCUCACCUGCAGCCCACGAGGAUUACUUUGCUUCAUCGUUGUAUUCUAACAACCCUGGGAUGUUGGAUUGAUUACUGACGCCAUUUGAGAGAUGAGGAAAUAAAUUCUCAUACAAAUGAAGUGGUUUGUCCUGAGUCAGAGAGUUAGAAAACUUCAGAGGCGAGAUUUGCACCUGUAGUCCUAAGCCAGUGUUGAGGCUGAAGGAGACGGUAUUCCUGGUUAGGUAAGCAUCCUGUGCCAGGGCUCGGAGUGGGCCGGAGGGUGUGGACUGCAGCUCUGCUUGGGAAGCAGGAGGCGUGCAGAGGUCUGACUCCUGCUGUCCUCGAGCGCAUCAGGCCCUUUCUGUGCUGGAGAAAGCAGAUGGAAGGAAAGUUACUCUGCACAGAAUUGCUGUGAAUCCUCCAUAACAUGGCUAGGCCUCUGUGAGAGUGACUGCUUUGGUGAUAACCUGGGACUGGGGACUUUUUCUGCAAACAGAUUACAUCAUUACCACAAGAGAGGCUUGAGUUCUGAGGAUGACGGUUUUAUAGCCCGUAGACCCCCACAACUGGAGCCAUCUGGACUUCUGGAAGCCUGGUACCAACCAGGUCCAGGAAGAAGACGUCCAGCACUCCAGGAGUCCCACGCGCUCCCUCCCAGUUGCAAUGCUCAUACUCCUCCUUGGAGAUUCCGUCACUCUGGCCUCCAACCUCCAGCUGAGUUUGCCUGCCUCCAAACGUUAUGAACCCAUGGGCUGCGUUUAAACUUCUGCAGAGCUGAUUGUUCCUCUCAGAGACUCAUAAUCAUCCCAAAUCUUCGACUCAGAAAGCCCUUCACCAUCCAACCUCAGUUCCAUCCCAGAUAUCUGCUUUCCCACAGCCCAGGCCACAGAUGUUCACAAACCUGGGUGAGAAUCUGGCAAUAGCUCUAACACAGGUUUUGUCAGUUACGAGUAACGCUGCUAUAAGCCUCCCUGUGCAGGCUGCUGUGUGGGCAUAAGUUUUGGACUCCUUUGGACUGCUGAUCCUGAGUGUUUACUGAAAAAACCAUGGUUGUCAAACCUUUGUGCUCGUGAUCAUCACCUGAGAGCACCUGGUUACACCUGUAGGCUUCCUCCUCAACCAGAAAUUCCGAUUGGAGAGAUUGGGAAUCUUCAUGGGUAGCCAGGCUCCCAAGGGAUGCUGAAUCAGACGCUCCUCAGACCACACUCUGAGGGGCCCUCAUACAAUGAGCCACCACUGGCCACUGGGAGCAGGUGGAGACGGGCUGCUGCUUCAGGGGCCGUCUCGGAACUCCCAAGUGAUGUCCUGACCAUGUGGGAGAAAGAGUCAAAAAGGCGGGGGUUCGGAGCUGUGCUUUUGUGUUCAGACCGUCCUAGGUUCCAAUCCCACCUCCACCACUCACCAGCUGUGUAUCCUCAGUUUCCUCAUUUGUAAAAUGGGAAAUAGGCACUUCCCAUGGGAACAUGGGGAAGAGUAAUUAAUACACAUGGAAGGCUCCGUACAAAGCAGAGCAUGCCAUGCAUAAUAAAUAC
Bos taurus (domestic cattle) is the source of this 1523-nucleotide long non-coding RNA. The record is from Ensembl. Lineage: Eukaryota; Metazoa; Chordata; Mammalia; Artiodactyla; Bovidae.